Molecule: unclassified non-coding RNA, 156 nt
Filed under: Pestalotiopsis sp. YM1
Lineage: Eukaryota; Fungi; Ascomycota; Sordariomycetes; Amphisphaeriales; Sporocadaceae
Also listed under: 2 other names
Description: ITS1
Source: RNAcentral
CAGAGUUAUUCCAAACUCCAAACCCAUGUGAACUUACCACUUGUUGCCUCGGCGGAGCUACCCGGAAGCUACCCUGUAGCUACCCUGGAGCGCCGCCGGUGGACAUAUAAACUCUUGUUAUUACGAGUCAUCUGAGCGUCUUAUGUAAAUAAGUCA